UGCAGGUGGCGUCCGCGUGGUUUGGUAGUGGCGGCUCAGCUCCGUGGGGCUCUGGCAGCGCUCUUUUGCUGAGCCAGAAUCCCGCAGGAUGGACAGAGUGGGCGUUCGACUGUGAAAAGAAGGCACAGGCAUUCUCACGUGGGCGUGACAUUGAGGCCAGCUCUCCCGCUGUGCUUUUCCCUGUCUGGGUCACUCAUCCCCUAGCCCCGCCUGUUUCCAAAGACAAAUGAGAGGCACUGUUGUUUAAAAAGAAAAGAACUGGAAGGAAAGUCGACUUGGAUUCUAGUCCUGGCUCUGAAACUAUGUAGCAUGGCCUCUGGCCUGAGUUCAGGACCCGGCUUUCUCUUUGACAUUCCUCAGCCGCCCGAGAGCAGCACAAAUACAUAGUCGAGUCUCCUGAGACCAAAGGGCCGGGGACACCCCGCCGAAAACGCGCUCCAUUGGAACAGCUGCCGUCUUCCCAGUCCCACCAAGGGCAAAGAGGGGAAAUGGAGUCCCUUAGGAGAAAUCCACCGCUUCUAGAAACCCGCAGCCCGCACAGAACACACACUUACCUUCCACAGCUCAAGGGACUCUUCACACCCGACAGUGGAACUGUCUGGUUACGUUUGCAUUUUGGGGAGUGUAGUUCAUGAAGCCGAAAUGAUGCAAGGAAAACUACAAGUCCCACAACCCCCCGCGCCGCACCCUUGAGGACGGGGUCGUCCGGGAGCGCCCCCUGUCGGCCUCUCCUGGCAGAGGUUUUGAACCUUGGUUCGUUCUCUCAGAAGCGGUUAGAGCUUCAGUGCCAAUGGCCCGAGUGCAAACUAGCACAUCCAAACAGCGCGACCGUAGGAAUUCAUCCUGAGAUAGAAGCUUUUAAUAAUGGAUCUAGGCUGGGUGCAGUGGCUCCUGCCUACAAUCCCAACACUUUGGGAGGCCAAAGCAGGGAGGAUCGGUUGAG
Molecule: long non-coding RNA, 943 nt
Organism: Lemur catta (Ring-tailed lemur)
Lineage: Eukaryota; Metazoa; Chordata; Mammalia; Primates; Lemuridae
Exons: 3
Source: RefSeq, a predicted model, not a curated record